Molecule: ribosomal RNA, 385 nt
Filed under: uncultured eukaryote
Lineage: Eukaryota
Description: partial small subunit ribosomal RNA
Source: RNAcentral
UCAAUUAAUACCUUCUCAACCAUGUCCUGGACAUCUUCUACUCCAGGUGUCUGGUUUUCAUACUUCUUUUCAAGUAUGCUUUCUACCUCCUUUGCAAGAGUUUCUGCCAGAGCCCUGUCGCUUCCGCCAAGUGAUUCUGCCGCCUUGAAUAUAGCAUUUGUGAUUUUUCCCCUGUUAAAAGGGACCAGUUCCCCGUCUCUUUUCUUGAUAUUUGUUAGCUUUCCCAUCGCGCUCAUUGGAUGCCGCAUCCAGUAUAUAAUAUUUUCCGUAAAAGGUUAUAAACCUGCCAGCCAAUCUAAUACCAUGGAGCAGAUAAAAUUCAAUGACUUUGACAAGCUCAGAGUCGCACUCCAAUUAGCCGAGCCAAAAAGCCGCGCAGAGGUCU